Molecule: long non-coding RNA, 703 nt
Organism: Eriocheir sinensis (Chinese mitten crab)
Lineage: Eukaryota; Metazoa; Arthropoda; Malacostraca; Decapoda; Varunidae
Exons: 2
Source: RefSeq, a predicted model, not a curated record
CUUGGUGUGGAGGCUGGAACAGAUGCAAGGGAGGCAGCGAGGGUAGCGAGGAAGGAAAGUAAAGAGGGGAAAGAAUGGAGGAAAGGAGCUGGACGGGGAUGCAGAGAGGAAAAGAGAGAUAGGGGAAAAGAGAAGGAAGGUAAGAAGGAAAGUAGAAAGGAAAAAAUGGAGGAAGGAAGCUAGAAAGAGAUGCAGAGAGGAAAAGAGAGAUAGGGGAAAAGAGAAGGAAGGGAAGAAGGAAAGCAGAAAGGAAAAAAUGGAGGAAGGAAGCUAGAAAGGGAUGCGAAGAGGAAAAGAGAGAUAGGGGAAAAGAGAAGGAAGGUAAGAAGGAAAGUAGAAAGGAAAAUUGGAGGAAGGAAGCUAGAAAGGGAUGCGAAGAGGAAAAGAGAGAUAGGGGAAAAGAGAAGGAAGGGAAGAAGGGAAGUAGAAAGGAAAAUUGGAGGAAGGAAGCUAGAAAGGGAUGCGAAGAGGAAAAGAGAGAUAGGGGAAAAGAGAAGGAAGGGAAGAAGGAAAGUGGAAAGGAAAAUUGGAGGAAGGAAGCUAGAAAGGGAUGCGAAGAGGAAAAGAGAGAUAGGGGAAAAGAGAAGGAAGGUAAGAAGGAAAGUAGAAAGGAAAAAAUGGAGGAAGGAAGCUAGAAAGGGAUGCAGAGAGGAAAAGAGAGAUUGGGGAAAAGAGAAGGAAGGGAAGAAGGGAAGUAGAAAGG